AGGGAGGCGGAUGCCUGGGCGGAGCUGAGCCGUGCGCUGCCCGUCACCAGCCCUCCCAAGAGUGACCCCGCUCUCUGAUGACCGUGCGGACCUGAGAGAAAUCCCCACGGACAGAUACGGAGCAGACACGC
Gadus morhua (Atlantic cod) is the source of this 131-nucleotide non-coding RNA. Ensembl annotates it as small Cajal body-specific RNA 8. NCBI's taxonomy places the organism in Eukaryota, Metazoa, Chordata, Actinopteri, Gadiformes, Gadidae. The record is from Ensembl.